AACGAACGCUGGCGGCAUGCCUAACACAUGCAAGUCGAACGAGACCUUCGGGUCUAGUGGCGCACGGGUGCGUAACGCGUGGGAACCUGCCCUUAGGUUCGGAAUAACUCCCCGAAAGGGGUGCUAAUACCGGAUAAUGUCCUCGGACCAAAGAUUUAUCGCCUUUGGAUGGGCCCGCGUUGGAUUAGCUAGUUGGUAGGGUAAAAGCCUACCAAGGCGACGAUCCAUAGCUGGUAUGAGAGGAUGGUCAGCCACACUGGGACUGAGACACGGCGCAGACUCCUACGGGAUGCAGCAGUGGGGAAUAUUGGACAAUGGGCGAAAGCCUGAUCCAGCAAUGCCGCGUGAGUGAUGAAGGCCUGAGGGUUGUAAAGCUCUUUUACCCGGGAUGAUAAUGACAGUACCGGGAGAAUAAGCUCCGGCUAACUCCGUG
This 433-nucleotide ribosomal RNA is filed under the name uncultured bacterium. RNAcentral's name for it is "partial 16S ribosomal RNA". It matches the Rfam family "Bacterial small subunit ribosomal RNA", at positions 29 to 507 of the family's 1533-position model. The record is from RNAcentral.